CCUACGGGGGGCUGCAGUGGGGAAUAUUGGACAAUGGGGGCAACCCUGAUCCAGCCAUGCCGCGUGUGUGAAGAAGGCCCUCGGGUUGUAAAGCACUUUCAGUGAGGAAGAACGCCUGGUGGUGAAUACCCAUCAGGAAAGACAUCACUCACAGAAGAAGCACCGGCUAACUCCGUGCCAGCAGCCGCGGUAAUACGGAGGGUGCGAGCGUUAAUCGGAAUUACUGGGCGUAAAGCGCGCGUAGGUGGCUUGAUAAGCCGGUUGUGAAAGCCCCGGGCUCAACCUGGGAACGGCAUCCGGAACUGUCAAGCUAGAGUGCAGGAGAGGAAGGUAGAAUUCCCGGUGUAGCGGUGAAAUGCGUAGAGAUCGGGAGGAAUACCAGUGGCGAAGGCGGCCUUCUGGACUGACACUGACACUGAGGUGCGAAAGCGUGGGUAGCAAACAGGAUUAGAUACCCUUGUAGUC
This 465-nucleotide ribosomal RNA is filed under the name Vreelandella stevensii. Its description in RNAcentral is "partial 16S ribosomal RNA". It matches the Rfam family "Bacterial small subunit ribosomal RNA", at positions 338 to 795 of the family's 1533-position model. Lineage: Bacteria; Pseudomonadati; Pseudomonadota; Gammaproteobacteria; Oceanospirillales; Halomonadaceae. The record is from RNAcentral.